Molecule: ribosomal RNA, 393 nt
Filed under: uncultured bacterium
Lineage: Bacteria
Description: partial 16S ribosomal RNA
Rfam family: Bacterial small subunit ribosomal RNA
Source: RNAcentral
AUACGGACGAUGCGAGCGUUAUCCGGAUUUAUUGGGUUUAAAGGGAGCGCAGGCGGAGAUGCAAGCGUGACGUCAAAUUUCGGGGCUCAACCCCGUCUCGCGUCGCCAACUGCGUCCCUUGGUUGCGGGAAGGGUAGGCGGAACUCGUGGCGUAGCGGUGACAUGCAUAGAUAUAACGAAGAACUCCGAUCGCGAAGGCAGCCUUCCGGCCCGUCGACGACGCUCAUGCUCGAAGGUGCGGGUAUCAAACAGGAUUAGAUACCCUGGUAGUCCGCACAGUAAACGAUGGACACCCGCGGUUUGGCCUAUAUGGCUGAGCCGCCAAGCGAAAGCGUUAAGUGUCCCACCUGGGGAGUACGCCGGAAACGGUGAAACUCAAAUGAAUUGACGGGG